RNAcentral lists this small nucleolar RNA (94 nucleotides) under Pelobates cultripes (western spadefoot toad). It matches the Rfam family "Small nucleolar RNA SNORD14". Rfam says of the family: U14 small nucleolar RNA (U14 snoRNA) is required for early cleavages of eukaryotic precursor rRNAs. The record is from RNAcentral. Lineage: Eukaryota; Metazoa; Chordata; Amphibia; Anura; Pelobatidae.
UCGCAGUGAUGAAUGAUUCCAAAGCCAUUCGUAGUUUCCACCGGAUGUCGAAAGGCAUAUGACGGCUUUAUACCUUCCUUGGAUGUCUGAGCGA